This 264-nucleotide signal recognition particle RNA is filed under the name Candidatus Bipolaricaulota bacterium. RNAcentral describes it as "signal recognition particle sRNA large type". It matches the Rfam family "Bacterial large signal recognition particle RNA". Rfam says of the family: The signal recognition particle (SRP) is a universally conserved ribonucleoprotein involved in the co-translational targeting of proteins to membranes. Lineage: Bacteria; Candidatus Bipolaricaulota. The record is from RNAcentral.
CCAUGCUAGGCGGGGGUUAGCGGUCCCUUUAGUCCCCAAUCCGCUAUAGGGGAGCCAAUAUGCCUGCUGAGGAAUUGGACACUUGGGACUGUACCUGGGUAAGUAGCGUUGACGGUUGAGUCCUCUGCGGCACAAGUUUACCAAUCCCGUCAGGCCCGGAAGGGAGCAGCGGUAAGUAGACCUCUGUGGGUGUCAGAGGGUUGCUUGGCCCGAGUUAACUGCCCAGGUAACGCCAGGUGAACGGUUUCGAUGCAGGCUGCAUGG